RNAcentral lists this small nucleolar RNA (116 nucleotides) under Triticum aestivum (bread wheat). RNAcentral's name for it is "snoRNA snoZ278". It matches the Rfam family "Small nucleolar RNA Z278". From Rfam's summary of the family: snoZ278 is a C/D box small nucleolar RNA. Its methylation guide targets have not been reported. RNAcentral also lists the same sequence under 2 other names. The record is from Rfam by way of RNAcentral. Lineage: Eukaryota; Viridiplantae; Streptophyta; Magnoliopsida; Poales; Poaceae.
GCCAAUGAUGCUAUGCCCAACAUUUUGACGUGCAGAUGGCUCCAGGAUCCUGUUUACAGGAUGAACCUACCUGGAGGCGCUGUAUCCACAUGACAUCCAAUGGGCAAGUCUGAGGU